This 492-nucleotide ribosomal RNA is filed under the name uncultured bacterium. Its description in RNAcentral is "partial 16S ribosomal RNA". It matches the Rfam family "Bacterial small subunit ribosomal RNA", at positions 29 to 507 of the family's 1533-position model. The record is from RNAcentral.
AGUGAACGCUGGCGGUAGGCCUAACACAUGCAAGUCGAACGGCAGCACAGUAAGAGCUUGCUAUUACGGGUGGCGAGUGGCGGACGGGUGAGGAAUACAUCGGAAUCUACUUUUUCGUGGGGGAUAACGUAGGGAAACUUACGCUAAUACCGCAUACGACCUACGGGUGAAAGCAGGGGAUCUUCGGACCUUGCGCGAUUGAAUGAGCCGAUGUCGGAUUAGCUAGUUGGCGGGGUAAAGGCCCACCAAGGCGACGAUCCGUAGCUGGUCUGAGAGGAUGGUCGGCGACACUGGAACUGAGACACGGUCCAGACUCCUACGGGAGGCAGCAGUGGGGAAUAUUAGACAAUGGGCGCAAGCCUGACCCAGCCAUACCGCGUGGGUGAAGAAGGCCUUCGGGGUGUAAAGCCCUUUUGUUGGGAAAGAACAGCAGUAGGUUAAUACCCCGCUGUUCUGACGGUACCCAAAGAAUAAGCACCGGCUAACUUCGUG